RNAcentral lists this ribosomal RNA (287 nucleotides) under coryneform actinomycete B264. Its description in RNAcentral is "partial 16S ribosomal RNA". It matches the Rfam family "Bacterial small subunit ribosomal RNA", at positions 1180 to 1466 of the family's 1533-position model. Lineage: Bacteria; Bacillati; Actinomycetota; Actinomycetes. The record is from RNAcentral.
UGACGUCAAAUCAUCAUCCCCUUUAUGUCUUGGCUUCACGCAUUGCUACAAUGGCCGGNCAAAGGGCUGCGAAACCGCGAGGUGGAGCGAAUCCCAAAAAACCGGNCUCAGUUCGGAUUGGGGUCUGCNACUCGACCCCAUGAAGUCGGAGUCGCUAGUAAUCGCAGAUCAGCAACGCUGCGGUGAAUACGUUCCCNGGCCUUGUACACACCGCNCNUCAAGNCACGAAAGUCGGUAACACCCGAACCGGUGGCCCAACCCUUGUGNGGGGAGCCGUCGAAGGUGGG